GUAAUUUCGAGAUCUUUAAGAGAUUUACUAACUAAUUUCAGCUGUAAAUAAAGAAGCAUUAGUGUACAGCUUAUAAUUCUUUAACAUUGACAUGGCGUUUUCGCACAAAAUGUUCUUUGGACGCCAGUGACAGCUCUGCCAGUUCAAUAUUUCAAUUUUUGCAGCGCGUCUCGCCCAAUUUUCCGCAAUUAAAUUCCACCAGCAAAGCUAUCAACAAAUAUGCUGUCAGGCCACAAACCUUCUAUAUUGUACUUUUAGAAAAGUAAUAUUUGUUAAAGUGAGCGUGUGAGUGCUGGGAUUCGAAUCUACGGAAGUCCUUUUCGUUUGUGCUGUGCUGUUGUUGUUUUGUUGCUUUGGCUACUGCUGUCGCCCUGUAUACGCCCUUGCGUAUAACAAUGGACAUGGAAUACGCCAACAUCAAUGAAUUUAAUGACCGCGACCUAGCGACACGCAUGCGCAACAGCAAUUAUGAAAAAUACAAGUCUCUGGUGCGCAUGCACCUCUCCUUCGAGCUGGAACUAAACACCGACGAGUUCGACAUGCCGUGCCAUGAAAUCGUCUACGAAGAUAAGGGCAAGAUAAAGAAGUGGAAUCGCCUCUCCAAGAAUAAUCGCGGACCUGCCACAGGCUGCACGGCUGGGGCAGGCAGUAAGUCGGCGGGCAACAGUCCCACUGAAACGCUGCAGCAACAAAUUGAUGCAGGCUUUCUGAUGCACCUGGAGGAGCUCAAAGAGUUUCUUAUGCUGGAGAAGAAUCUCACCCAGGAGGGACUAUUUCGCAAGACAGGAGCCGUUUCCAGGCAGAACGAGCUACGAAUGCACAUACAGCACGACCAGCCCUUGGAUUUGGAACUGACAGGAUUCUCGGCUCACGACUGUGCCACUGUUUUUAAGAGCUUUCUGGCCGAUCUGCCAGAGCCUUUGCUUACAGACGCCCACUAUCCAGCACAUCUUCAGAUAGCGCCGCUUAGCCAGGCAUUAAUGGGGGGUCAGGUGGCGGCUACCGCAGAGCGCCAACAACAUCUUCUCAACUCGGUGCAGCUGCUCCUUCUCCUGCUCCCCGAAGAGCAUCGCGAGUUACUGCAGCACAUUAUUAAAAUGCUCCAUUCGGUGGCAGCGCGUGAGGAGAGCAACAUGAUGUCCGCGGAGAAUUUGGCCAUCUUGUUUACACCGCACCUGAUUUGCCCCAGGCAAAUGCCGCCUGAGGCGCUCCACUAUACGGCGAAGAAGAUGUCCAGCAUUGUGUCCUACAUGAUUCAGCAGGGUCUGGAAAUCUUCGAAGUUCCCGGAAAGCUAGCCACCGAUAUUCGGGCGUACUUUCUUGAGCGCAAACGCAAAAAAACCAUGUCACCGGAGCAAACCCUUGAAGAAUCCAUCUCGGACGACUCGACGGUCAACACGGUGUACACUUUUGUAGAUCGUGCCGCCACGGCAGCGGCAAACAACAGCAAUUACACGGAUACUGCACUGGCGCAGCUGUACGCGCACAUUCAGAGCCUUCCGGAGUCCUCCAAGAAGCGUCGCCUCAUCAAGCAGUUUAACAAGCAAAACGGACAAGGCACACCGCUGCAGGUCAUCGCGAGGAGCUCCAGCGUGCCAUAAGGGAGCAUCACGAGAAGCAUGAUGCCAAAAUGAUGCGCGCCAUGGAGGAGGCAGAGCCUAUGCCAUAAAUGCGGCUAAACUGAAACUGUAAACACUUUUGUAUGCGACGUAAUAAAGACUUGAAUGUACCCAAAGCACUAA
Drosophila miranda is the source of this 1742-nucleotide RNA transcript. It is a transcript of the gene named rho GTPase-activating protein 19-like, with no coding region annotated. The transcript is spliced from 5 exons. The record is from RefSeq and is a predicted model, not a curated record. Lineage: Eukaryota; Metazoa; Arthropoda; Insecta; Diptera; Drosophilidae.